This 66-nucleotide transfer RNA is filed under the name Tonicia forbesii. Its description in RNAcentral is "tRNA-Val". Lineage: Eukaryota; Metazoa; Mollusca; Polyplacophora; Chitonida; Chitonidae. The record is from RNAcentral.
UAGGAUAUAGCAUAAUAUUAAUGUUUUUUGUUUACACCAAAACUAUGGCUCUUUAGCCUGUCCUAA